UGGUGGGUAGUUUGACUGGGGCGGUCUCCUCCCAAAGCGUAACGGAGGAGCACGAAGGUGGGCUAAUCACGGUUGGACAUCGUGAGGUUAGUGCAAUGGCAUAAGCCCGCUUGACUGCGAGAAUGACAAUUCGAGCAGGUGCGAAAGCAGGUCAUAGUGAUCCGGUGGUUCUGAAUGGAAGGGCCAUCGCUCAACGGAUAAAAGGUACUCCGGGGAUAACAGGCUGAUACCGCCCAAGAGUUCAUAUCGACGGCGGUGUUUGGCACCUCGAUGUCGGCUCAUCACAUCCUGGGGCUGAAGUCGGUCCCAAGGGUAUGGCUGUUCGCCAUUUAAAGUGGUACGCGAGCUGGGUUUAGAACGUCGUGAGACAGUUCGGUCCCUAUCUGCCGUGGGCGUUGGAGAAUUGAAAGGGGCUGCUCCUAGUACGAGAGGACCGGAGUGGACGAACCUCUGGUGUUCGGGUUGUGUCGCCAGACGCAUUGCCCGGUAGCUAAGUUCGGGAUCGAUAACCGCUGAAAGCAUCUAAGCGGGAAGCGAGCCUUGAGAUGAGUUCUCCCUGAUACUUUAAGUAUCCUAAAGGGUUGUCGUAGACUACGACGUUGAUAGGCAGGGUGUGUAAGCGUUGUGAGGCGUUGAGCUAACCUGUACUAAUUGCCCGUGAGGCUUAACCAUACAACACCCAAGGGGUUU
This 690-nucleotide ribosomal RNA is filed under the name Vibrio alginolyticus. RNAcentral's name for it is "partial 23S ribosomal RNA". It matches the Rfam family "Bacterial large subunit ribosomal RNA", at positions 2259 to 2925 of the family's 2925-position model. The record is from RNAcentral. Lineage: Bacteria; Pseudomonadati; Pseudomonadota; Gammaproteobacteria; Vibrionales; Vibrionaceae.